Molecule: ribosomal RNA, 786 nt
Filed under: uncultured archaeon
Lineage: Archaea
Description: bacterial SSU rRNA
Rfam family: Archaeal small subunit ribosomal RNA
Source: RNAcentral
CAUGCGAGUCCAGAGCUUUCGGAGCUCGGCGUACCGCUCAGUAACACGUGGGUAACCUAACCUAUGCAGGGGAAUAACCUCGGGAAACUGAGUAUAAUGCCCCAUAGUCCACUACGCCUGGAACGGUGAGUGGAUCAAAGCUCAGGCGGCAUAGGAUGGGCCUGCGGCGUAUCAGGUUGUAGGGGGUGUAAAGUACCCUCUAGCCAUCUACGCGUACGGGUGUUGGGAGACAUAGCCCGGAGAUGGAUUCUGAGACACGAAUCCAGACCCUACGGGGUGCAGCAGGCGCGAAAACUUGACAAUGCGAGCAAUCGUGAUCAGGGAACUCCAAGUGGCUGGGGUAAGACCCAGUCUUUUCAUAACUCUUCAAAGGUUGUAGAAUAAGGGGUGGGUAAGGACGGUGCCAGCCGCCGCGGUAAUACCGGCGCCUCAAGUGGUAGUCGCUUUUAUUGGGCCUAAAACGUCCGUAGCCGGUUUGGUACAUUCGUGGGUAAAUCAACUCGCUCAACGAGUUGAAUUCUGCGAGGACGGCCAGACUUGGGACCGGGAGAGGUGUGGGGUACUCUCAGGGUAGGGGUAAAAUCCUGUCAUCCUGAGAGGACCACCUGUUGCGAAGGCGCCACACUAGAACGGAUCCGACGGUCAGGACGAAGCCUAGGGGCACGAACCCGGAUUAGAUACCCGGGUAGUCCUAGUGUAAACGCUGUGACUUGAUGUUGAGAAGCUCGAGCUUCUUCAGUGUCGAAGCGAAGGUGGAAAAGUCCACUGCCUGGUAGUACGGGUCGC